CAUAUCAAUAAGCGGAGGAAAAGAAACCAACAGGGAUUGCCCCAGUAACGGCGAGUGAAGCGGCAACAGCUCAAAUUUGAAAUCUGGCCCCAGGCCCGAGUUGUAGUUUGCAGAGGAUGCUUUUGGCGCGGUGCCUUCCGAGUUCCCUGGAACGGGACGCCAUAGAGGGUGAGAGCCCCGUACGGUUGGACACCAAGCCUUUGUAAAGCUCCUUCGACGAGUCGAGUAGUUUGGGAAUGCUGCUCUAAAUGGGAGGUACAUUUCUUCUAAAGCUAAAUAUUGGCCAGAGACCGAUAGCGCACAAGUAGAGUGAUCGAAAGAUGAAAAGCACUUUGAAAAGAGGGUUAAACAGCACGUGAAAUUGUUAAAAGGGAAGCGCUUGUGACCAGACUUGCGUCCGGUGAAUCACCCAGCUCUCGCGGCUGGGGCACUUCGCCGGCACAGGCCAGCAUCAGCUUGCCGUCGGGGACAAAAGCUUCAGGAACGUGGCUCCUCUCGGGGAGUGUUAUAGCCUGUUGCAUAAUACCCUUCGGCGGGCUGAGGUACGCGCUCCGCAAGGAUGCUGGCGUAAUGGUCAUCAGCGACCCGUCUUGAAACACGGACCAAGGAGUCAACCUUAUGUGCGAGUGUUUGGGUGUCAAACCCCUACGCGUAAUGAAAGUGAACGCAGGUGAGAGCUUCGGCGCAUCAUCGACCGAUCCUGAUGUUCUCGGAUGGAUUUGAGUAAGAGCAUAUAGGGUUGGACCCGAAAGAAGGUGAACUAUGCGUGUGUAGGGUGAAGCCAGAGGAAACUCUGGUGGAGGCUCGCAGCGGUUCUGACGUGCAAAUCGAUCGUCAAACAUGCGCAUGGGGGCGAAAGACUAAUCGAACCUUCUAGUAGCUGGUUCCGC
Molecule: ribosomal RNA, 890 nt
Filed under: Colletotrichum nymphaeae
Lineage: Eukaryota; Fungi; Ascomycota; Sordariomycetes; Glomerellales; Glomerellaceae
Description: LSU rRNA
Rfam family: Eukaryotic large subunit ribosomal RNA
Source: RNAcentral